GUCGGUUUUUCAUCUUCCGGUGGACAUAUGCAAUUCUUUUUACAUCAACUUCCAUAGCAUUAAGUCGACUUAAUUAAAAAUUCUACCAAAAAUUUAAGAGUUGUAACAUCAACAGUCAGAUUGUAUAUAAUUUACUUUAUGCAGACUAUAAUCUUUUAUAUUCGAACAUAACAAACAGACAAAAAAUACUCCAAAUCGUUAAUGUGCAGCAAAUCUCUUGUCAUCAAACUGGAACAAUUCCUAACAAAAUUUAACCUGCACCUUCAAAACCAAAAAGAACAAAGCUAUUGGGAAUAAUUUGAAUUUAUUAAUUUGCAAAUUUAUGGAAUAUAAUUAGCUUUACAUCAAAUUUUUAGUAGUGGACUCACAUCGUGAGCCACUACUGUGCCGUUUUUUCUGAUCAUCAAAAAGCUUAUGCAAUGUGAUUGUAAAAGAGAUGUAAAAAGCCCAUGAAAAGAAACAGCAAAACCAGUUACUUAAUCAACUAUACUGCUUCAAUUCUACUAUAAAACUCACAAAAAAAAACUGAAAACUACGCGUAGACAGAAAAAUUAUUAUUUUAAAAAUUUGUUAAUAAGUAGUUUAACUAUUAAAUUUAACGAGAUUAGAAUUGUAUCAAAAAGAACCAAGAUUUUAGAACUUUUGUAAAACCACAUAUAAUCAUCAAAUCUUGAUCGAAUAUCAGCCACAUGUCAUUAACAAUAUUCUCGGAAUAGCAGCCGGAGCACCUUCAGAAAUCACUGGUUAUUGUAACUACAUGAAUUACCAUUUUUUACCAAAAACCAUCAUUGUCUUAAGCGAACACCCCUAUUGUCAAUUGCAAAACACAGAUACUUUUUAUUUCUAAACUAUAAACCUAAACAGCACCCCCAGCUUGCAGUUUGAAGAGGCCUCCUCACUCGGCAGUUGCAGAAUACUAUGAAUUGGUGAGUCAUGUAUAAUUGUUUUUAUGUUUUGCAGUUCUCAAUCAUACAUAGCAUAAGAGUAGUCAUAAUUUCCCAACAUUAUCAUUAUUAUGUGUAAGAGAAGUUACUCCAAGUACAUUCUAACUCUUUUGUCUUAGUUUUAGCAUUACGCGAUUUUAAAGGGAAUGCUGUUACGCAAAAUAUCAUUUUUUUGAUUUUUUCUUUUACAUUAUUUUAUGUUCUUUUUUUCUGGUUCACUCAAAAAAACACUCCA
Lucilia cuprina (Australian sheep blowfly) is the source of this 1179-nucleotide long non-coding RNA. RefSeq lists it as uncharacterized. The transcript is spliced from 3 exons. NCBI's taxonomy places the organism in Eukaryota, Metazoa, Arthropoda, Insecta, Diptera, Calliphoridae. The record is from RefSeq and is a predicted model, not a curated record.